CGGACCCACCAACAAAAACAACACGCUCAAUUGGAACACAGCUUUCAAUUAAGACACUAGGACCUCAUUUCAGAAGUACAGGCACACAGAUAAGGUUUCCCACCAUUGAUGUUGGUGUUGGCACAGCAGCUGUUCUGCCGUUUUUGGCACCAGUAAAGAGACCAAGUAAGAGACGACGCACAGAACUUGAGGAGGAGGGAGAGGAAGAGGAGCCUUUAGAAGCUAGUUCUGUUGACAUCCAGGUGCCACAUGAUUCCACACAUGACCCUGUGGACACCUUGAACGAGUCCGCUCGUGUGACAAAGGAAUCGUCUGUACCUGUUCAUAAGACUCCCACUUACAUUGUGUAUGAGAACUGCCUACUGGAGCUGUUUCAGCUGUGCCCUGUGUGUAAGCGGAACUGUGACGUGCGGUCAAGGAGGUUUGGCACGUUCCUCUCUGUAGAACAGCAGUGUCUGCAUUGUGAGUUCUCCAGAAAGUGGAAUAGCCAGCCUCUUGUUGGUAGCACUCCUGCUGGGAACCUGCAGCUGUCCACUGCAGUGUAUACCACUGGUGCGUCUUUCUUCAAGC
Long non-coding RNA from Solea senegalensis (Senegalese sole), 570 nucleotides. RefSeq lists it as uncharacterized. NCBI's taxonomy places the organism in Eukaryota, Metazoa, Chordata, Actinopteri, Pleuronectiformes, Soleidae. The transcript has 3 exons. The record is from RefSeq and is a predicted model, not a curated record.